RNAcentral lists this ribosomal RNA (253 nucleotides) under uncultured bacterium. RNAcentral's name for it is "partial 16S ribosomal RNA". It matches the Rfam family "Bacterial small subunit ribosomal RNA", at positions 524 to 776 of the family's 1533-position model. The record is from RNAcentral.
UACGUAGGGUGCAAGCGUUGUCCGGAAUUAUUGGGCGUAAAGAGCUCGUAGGCGGUUAGUCACGUCGGUUGUGAAAACCUGGGGCUCAACCCCGGGCCUGCAGCCGAUACGGGCUAGCUAGAGUUCGGCAGGGGAGACUGGAAUUCCUGGUGUAGCGGUGAAAUGCGCAGAUAUCAGGAGGAACACCGGUGGCGAAGGCGGGUCUCUGGGCCGAUACUGACGCUGAGGAGCGAAAGCGUGGGGAGCAAACAGG